This 1113-nucleotide long non-coding RNA is filed under the name Homo sapiens (human). RNAcentral's name for it is "HSALNT0148494". Lineage: Eukaryota; Metazoa; Chordata; Mammalia; Primates; Hominidae. The record is from RNAcentral.
AUGGCUGUGGCCAGCACCUUCAUACCAGGGCUCAACCCUCAGAACCCUCAUUAUAUCCCAGGGUAAGACUCCCACUUAGCGCUCCCCGCUUGCUGCUGGGAGUAGGGGUAUAGGGUGGAGGAAUUAAGCUGCUUAGAGCAUGGGGCCAAGCGGACAGGUUGGUUUGGGAGGCUGAGGUCUCUAUGGUGGUGGAUGGAAAAGGAGAAGCAAGGGACUAGUGAGACACCGGGUCUGCCCCAAAGCUUUGUGUUGUUCUCUCCAUGGGAACAGGGUAACAGCAGAGGAAGGAUCGAAAGCCCAGGCAGAGAACUUAGAAAUGCCUGCUCCAAAUAUAUACACUGCUGAGUCCAGAAAGAUCAGGGCUUCAGAGGUCUCCGCUUCUGCCUCUGGGGAUGGCGGGGCAGGGCGAUUCUGGUGAGUGGGAGAGUCUGUGCUGCAGGUACACUGGACACUGCCCACUACUUCGGUUCAGCGUGGGCCAGACCUAUGGGCAGGUGACUGGUCAGCUACUUCGAGGCCCUCCUGGCCUAGCCUGGCCCCCUGUCCACCGCACACUUCUGCCUCCCAUUCGGCCUCCAAGAUCUCCUGAGGUUCCCAGGGAGAGUCUACCUGUCAGGCGUGGGCAAGAAAGGCUCAGCUCCAGCAUGAUCCCUGGGUACACAGGUUUGUACGCAGGUAUGCACAGGUGCCCCUCCCAGGAGCAUGUGUUCCAAACACUAACGAGUCUUCCUUGUCCCUGCCUGCCCAGGUUUUGUACCCCGGGCACAGUUCAUCUUUGCCAAGAACUGCAGCCAGGUCUGGGCCGAGGCUCUGAGUGACUUUACUCACUUGCAUGAAAAGCAAGGGAGUGAAGAGCUACCAAAGGAGGCCAAGGGAAGAAAGGACACAGAGAAGGACCAGGUGCCAGAGCCGGAGGGGCAGCUGGAGGAGCCGACACUGGAGGUGGUGGAACAAGCUUCUCCCUACUCCAUGGAUGACAGGGACCCUCGGAAGUUCUUCAUGUCAGGCACUGCAGGAAUUUGGGCAGAAGCACUCACCAGGCAGUGCCCAGGACCCCAAACAUCUCCCCCCACUUCCCAGAACAUACCCUCAGAACCUGGGUCUUUUACCUAA